This is a long non-coding RNA of Cercocebus atys (sooty mangabey), 457 nucleotides long. RefSeq lists it as uncharacterized. The transcript has 3 exons. Lineage: Eukaryota; Metazoa; Chordata; Mammalia; Primates; Cercopithecidae. The record is from RefSeq and is a predicted model, not a curated record.
UCUGCAGGUCAGAGGGAAGGGGACGGUGGCUGCCCACCCGGCGGGAGAAGCUUCAAGAAGCGUCGGGAGGACCUGGCCAGGCUGAUUUUGACGGAUCUAGGGAAGAUUAACCGAGAGUCUGACACCUGUAAACGUCUGAAAGAAACUUUGAGGGUUUAUUUUCUCUGAGAGCUGCUACCGUUUCGGAGAUGUAAGCAGGAUACGAAAGCUCUGCUCUUCUGGAAUCUGCAGUGAAUAAUCCAGGAUCUGAUCAGCUGUCAUAAAGGUAAGAAUUUCUUUUUACCAGCCGGGCUCCCGGCCUCCUCCUCUGUGUGGAAUCUGAUCAAGUGGACAGUAAAACUCACUGUUUCUUUCUUUUCCCUCUCCAAAAUCUUGCUUAAUUGGAGAAAAGAAUUUGUGUGACUAGUCUUGGGUGUAGUGACUCUGGUGUGCUUUUUGGUACUUUGUGGUACCAAUU